Molecule: ribosomal RNA, 268 nt
Filed under: uncultured bacterium
Lineage: Bacteria
Description: partial 16S ribosomal RNA
Rfam family: Bacterial small subunit ribosomal RNA
Source: RNAcentral
UUGCUGGCGACCGGCGCACGGGUGAGUAACACGUAUCCAACCUGCCUUUACUCGGGGAUAGCCUUUCGAAAGAAAGAUUAAUACCCGAUAGUAUAAUGAUUCCGCAUGGUUUCAUUAUUAAAGGAUUCCGGUAAAGGAUGGGGAUGCGUUCCAUUAGGUUGUUGGUGAGGUAACGGCUCACCAAGCCUUCGAUGGAUAGGGGUUCUGAGAGGAAGGUCCCCCACAUUGGAGCUGAGACACGGUCCAAACUCCUACGGGAGGCAGCAUG